Podarcis lilfordi (Lilford's wall lizard) is the source of this 80-nucleotide non-coding RNA. NCBI's taxonomy places the organism in Eukaryota, Metazoa, Chordata, Lepidosauria, Squamata, Lacertidae. The record is from the annotation of a GenBank genome assembly.
UCCCUGAAGAAUAGCUCAGUUGGUAUUGCACGAGACUCUUAAUCUCAUGGUCAUGGGUUUGAGUCCAAUGUUGGGUGGAA